AGAGUAGGCGCAGGUGGUUACAGACUAGUUUCAUUGAAACUCGUUUGAGGAAAGUCCGGACUCCCGAAAGACCAGACUUGCUGGAUAACGUCCAGUGCGAGCGAUCGCGAGGAUAGUGCCACAGAAACAUACCGCCAGAAUCAAUUCAAAAUUAAAAAUUCAAAGGAGGGCUGCGCCCCGCUGCGCUAACAAAAUGAAUAAUUUUUUGAAUUGAUUCUGGUAAGGGUGCAAAGGUGCGGUAAGAGCGCACCAGCGCGAUCGAGAGAUCGUGGCUCGGUAAACCCCGGUUGGGAGCAAGGUCGCAAGGAACUAUGGUUGGUCUUUUACCAGUUCCGCUAAAAUAAGAGCCGCUAGAGGCGUUUGGUAACAAACGUCCCAGAUAGAUAACUACCCUCUUGAUAUAGGAAAGUCGUAUGCCUUUCCAUAGAAAGAGAACAGAACCCGGCUUACGUUCCGACUCUCUCC
This 465-nucleotide RNase P RNA is filed under the name Brasilonema sp. UFV-L1. Its description in RNAcentral is "RNase P RNA component class A". It matches the Rfam family "Bacterial RNase P class A". From Rfam's summary of the family: Ribonuclease P (RNase P) is a ubiquitous endoribonuclease, found in archaea, bacteria and eukarya as well as chloroplasts and mitochondria. Its best characterised activity is the generation of mature 5'-ends of tRNAs by cleaving the 5'-leader elements of precursor-tRNAs. Cellular RNase Ps are ribonucleoproteins. Lineage: Bacteria; Bacillati; Cyanobacteriota; Cyanophyceae; Nostocales; Scytonemataceae. The record is from RNAcentral.